CGAGCACUAUUCGAUGUUGCAGCGAAUGGCCUGAUUGGUUCUCUAUCCGUACAGAUUCAUCCUCCUGGACAUGUCCACCCUUGACCUUGGAACCGCGCGCAUCCUCUCUGCCUGCACGGAGAAGUGUUGAAGAGCUGCGAUAGAGCUACCCGGCUCUCAUACCAGCCUUGCAGUCGCAAGAUUGGAAACACUGAAGUACUCACUUAAGUAACUGAGAGCUUCUAAGAUCCUCCUACCUGCUGUGAAUGAUAGCAACUUUUGCAAGGAGGUCUGUCGCGACGUUGUGAACAACUCUGAAAUCUUGGGUACGAUUUUGAAGAGAUUCUGGAGAAGGAGAAGAGGGCGAGGAUUGAAGAGAGUCUGCGCAUAAUCGUUAGCU
Molecule: small RNA, 379 nt
Filed under: Histoplasma capsulatum var. duboisii H88
Lineage: Eukaryota; Fungi; Ascomycota; Eurotiomycetes; Onygenales; Ajellomycetaceae
Description: Histoplasma capsulatum H88 hypothetical RNA
Source: RNAcentral